UACGUAGGGUGCAAGCGUUAAUCGGAAUUACUGGGCGUAAAGCGUGCGCAGGCGGCUUUGCAAGACAGAUGUGAAAUCCCCGGGCUUAACCUGGGAAUGGCAUUCGGGACUGCAAGGCUGGAGUGCGGCAGAGGAGACUGGAAUUCCUGGUGUAGCAGUGAAAUGCGUAGAUAUCAGGAGGAACACCGAUGGCGAAGGCAGGUCUCUGGGCUGACACUGACGCUCAUGCUCGAAAGCGUGGGGAGCAAACAGG
Molecule: ribosomal RNA, 253 nt
Filed under: uncultured bacterium
Lineage: Bacteria
Description: partial 16S ribosomal RNA
Rfam family: Bacterial small subunit ribosomal RNA
Source: RNAcentral